Molecule: ribosomal RNA, 422 nt
Filed under: uncultured bacterium
Lineage: Bacteria
Description: bacterial SSU rRNA
Rfam family: Bacterial small subunit ribosomal RNA
Source: RNAcentral
UAAGGAAUAUUGGUCAAUGGACGCAAGUCUGAACCAGCCAUGCCGCGUGGAGGAUGAAGGCCCUCUGGGUUGUAAACUUCUUUUAUAUGGGACGAAAAAGGGUCUUUCUAGAUCAACUGACGGUACCAUGUGAAUAAGCACCGGCUAACUCCGUGCCAGCAGCCGCGGUAAUACGGAGGGUGCAAGCGUUAUCCGGAUUCACUGGGUUUAAAGGGUGCGUAGGUGGGUUGGUAAGUCAGUGGUGAAAUCUCCGAGCUUAACUUGGAAACUGCCAUUGAUACUAUCAGUCUUGAAUAUUGUGGAGGUCAGCGGAAUAUGUCAUGUAGCGGUGAAAUGCUUAGAUAUGACAUAGAACACCAAUUGCGAAGGCAGCUGGCUACGCAUAUAUUGACACUGAGGCACGAAAGCGUGGGGAUCAAACA